CCUGGUCAGUGUCCAGGACCGGUCCCCGCCCUUGGCGUGCGUGGCCAGUAAUGGCCGGGUGCGAAGCCCAGGGGAAAGCCCAAGGGC
This is a non-coding RNA of Micromonospora sp. CB01531, 87 nucleotides long. NCBI's taxonomy places the organism in Bacteria, Bacillati, Actinomycetota, Actinomycetes, Micromonosporales, Micromonosporaceae. The record is from Rfam.